CUUUAGUAAUUGCGAAUGAACAAGGAUAUGCUUAGCUUGACAAAUGGAGCUAUUGGCUUUGAAUUGUAUUGUGGAAAUGUAUUACCAACAGAGGUGCAGGUGCCAGCCUAUUGAAAUAAAGCGUCAAUGAGGGUGAGAAUCCUGUUUGUCAUGUGCAGCCCUUUGUGCACGGUGUAUAUUUGCUGAGUCACACUCCUUGGCAUUGGAAUGCAAAGUGGGUGGUAAGUUUCAUGUAAAGGUAAACAUGCAAUUGAGACUGAUAGCACACAAGUACCAUGAGGGAAAUAUGAAAAGGACUUUGAAAAGAGAAUUAAAUGAGUUUGUAUUUGCUGAACACAAAGUAAACAGACUUGAUUUGCUUGGUGGGAGUGUUGCACUUGCUUGACAAGAGCUUUGGGCUGUGGGUGUAAUGAUUCUUUCUUUGCAUGCCAGUUUCUAUUUGUACAUCUGAUUACCUUUGCACAUGAAUGAUAAGUCUCCUGUGGGGGGUGGAUUGCAUGUGCAUGUAAUGAUUUGUGUUUUGAUAAAUGUGUCUGGUGUAUGUGUGUGUUCCUGUGCUUGGGGAUGCUUCCUUCCUUGGACUUACAAGCCCUGACACACACAUGCUGGCAAAAUGCUUCUGCUUGACCCGUCUUGAAACACGGACCAAGGAGUCUAACAGAUGUGCAAAGUUUGAAGGUGGUAUACCUUUGUGUGCAAUGAAAGUGUCAGCUGGGAUAUGUGCACCAGCACCCAAUUAAUUAGCGGACAGAGGUUUGAGUUGGAGCAUAUCUAUUAGGACCCGAAAGAUGGUGAACUAUGCCUGAACAGAAUGAAUUCAGAGGAAACUCUGAUGGAGGUUCGUAUCGAUACUGACGUGCAAAUCGUUCGUCAUAUUUGGGUAUAGGGGCGAAAGACUAAUCGAACCAUCUAGUAGCUGGUUCCCUCCGAAGUUUCCCUCAGGAUAGCUGGAGUUGCUCAGUUUUAUCAGGUAAAGCGAAUGAUUAGAGGAAUUGGGGACAGGUUUGUCUUUGACCUAUUCUCAAACUUUAAAUGGGUAAUAUGUAGUGGUUGCUGUAUGGAACUUCUAAGAUAAAUGGCAAUAUUGGGU
Molecule: ribosomal RNA, 1090 nt
Filed under: Alexandrium catenella
Lineage: Eukaryota; Dinophyceae; Gonyaulacales; Pyrocystaceae
Description: partial large subunit ribosomal RNA
Rfam family: Eukaryotic large subunit ribosomal RNA
Source: RNAcentral